Molecule: small RNA, 1720 nt
Filed under: Pongo abelii (Sumatran orangutan)
Lineage: Eukaryota; Metazoa; Chordata; Mammalia; Primates; Hominidae
Description: retained intron
Source: RNAcentral
GUGCAUUGUGGGAAGCACUUUGUUGUCCACAGCCAAGCCGCUUGUGAUGAAACUGUAACUUACAAGAAAAGGGCUGGGUUUUGAAAAUAACACAGGCUCUAAAAACCCUGGAAGCGGUGCAACUUUUGGCAGGAAUCGGGGUUAGCGGGACCUCAACGGCUCACUGCGGCUAAGUGAACGCUGACUGGUCCUCCAGCGUGAGCUAGAACAGACGUCUCUAUGGUCAAGUAAAUAGAGCGUGUGCUGUCUUCCCCGUGUGGUGGGGUUGCGCAUGAUCAGUAGCUGCACCACUAGAAAGAUGGCGGAGCAAGAGCAAAGAAAAAUCCCUUUGGUUCCAGAAAAUCUCCUGAAAAAGAGGAAGGCUUAUCAAGCCCUCAAAGCCACCCAGGCAAAGCAGGCACUUUUGGCAAAGAAGGAGGUAAUGGUGGGGAACCAAGAGAAAGUAAUUAGAAUUUGUAUUUGGUGAGUUUUAUCCAGCAUGUGUUGGGCUACAUUUGGUAUUGACGAGCUCCCCCCAACGGUUUGACAAACCAGCAGAGGAAAGGAAAAGGGCUCAGGUUUAAGCGACUGGAAUCAUUCCUACAUGAUUCCUGGCGGCAGAAACGUGACAUGGUGCGUCUCAGACGACUAGAAAUGAAACCUCAUGCCUUGGAAUUGCCAGAUAAACAUUCCUUGGCCUUUGUUGUACGCAUCGAAAGGAUUGAUGGCGUGAGUUUACUGGUGCAGAGAACCAUUGCAAGACUUCGCCUAAAGAAAAUUUUUAGUGGUGUCUUUGUAAAAGUCACCCCCCAGAAUCUAAAAAUGCUGCGUAUAGUGGAACCUUAUGUGACCUGGGGAUUUCCAAAUCUGAAGUCUGUCCGAGAACUCAUUUUGAAACGUGGACAAGCCAAGGUGAAGAAUAAGACCAUCCCUCUGACAGACAACACAGUGAUUGAGGAGCACCUGGGGAAGUUUGGCGUCAUUUGCUUGGAAGACCUCAUUCAUGAAAUUGCCUUUCCAGGGAAGCAUUUCCAGGAGAUCUCAUGGUUCUUGCGCCCUUUCCACCUCUCAGUGGCCCGUCAUGCUACCAAAAAUAGAGUGGGCUUCCUCAAGGAGAUGGGCACACCUGGCUAUCGGGGUGAACGCAUCAAUCAGCUCAUCCGCCAGCUGAACUAGACCCAGGUGAGGCAGGGUUGAAAACUGCCCUUGGGCUGACUUUUGAUAGGCCAUGCCUUGCCACUUUACAAGUUCUUUUUGCAUUUACUAGUAUUUAAGAGUAACCUUGGGAUUGGGAGGAAAGAGGAGGCUGGUACAAAUAGAUGGAGACCUGCUGGGAUCAGUGAAUGCCUGGUUAGGACAUGGGGCUAUGCAUAGCCUAAGAGUUAUAGGCUUAAAGAUGUCGAGUAACUAAAAACUGUAUUGCUAGCCGGGCGCGGUGGCUCACGCCUGUAAUCCCAGCACUUUGGGAGGCCAAGGCGGGCAGACAAUGAGGUCAGGAGAUUGAGACCAUCCUGGCCAACAUGGUGAAACCCUGUCUCUACUAAAAAUACAAAAAUGAGCUGGGUGUGGUGGCGCGUGCCUGUAGUCCCAGCUACUUGAGAGGCUAAGGCAGGAAAAUCGCUUGAACCCAGGAGGCAGAGAUUGCAAUGAGCCAAGAUCGCGCCAGUGCACUCCAGCUGGGCGACAGAGCGAGACCGUCUCAAAAAAAAAAAAAAAAAAAAAAAAAAAAAAAAAAAAAAAA